GUCGGGCACUCGCCAUCAUGAUUUCAUUCUACGCCAAAAGAAGUAUAAGUAAAAAAGAGAGACAUCACAUCACCGUAAUUUUCUUGCCCCUUUCUUUUGUCUCCAGAUAUCCGAAAAUUAUUACGUGGAUCAGAUCCACCGUGAACUUAGAGUAAAAUAACUUUAUCUAAUAAUUUCAUACGACGGUAAAAUUAAUUUACCUUAGAUGAUUUCACCCA
RNAcentral lists this long non-coding RNA (218 nucleotides) under Elaeis guineensis (African oil palm). Its description in RNAcentral is "long non-coding RNA (EGUI_LNC015829)". Lineage: Eukaryota; Viridiplantae; Streptophyta; Magnoliopsida; Arecales; Arecaceae. The record is from RNAcentral.